RNAcentral lists this ribosomal RNA (500 nucleotides) under uncultured Desulfobulbus sp. RNAcentral describes it as "bacterial SSU rRNA". It matches the Rfam family "Bacterial small subunit ribosomal RNA", at positions 887 to 1382 of the family's 1533-position model. The record is from RNAcentral. Lineage: Bacteria; Pseudomonadati; Thermodesulfobacteriota; Desulfobulbia; Desulfobulbales; Desulfobulbaceae.
GCCCGCUCAGAAACUCAAAGGAAGUUGACGGGGCCCGGCACAAGCGGUGGAGUAUGUGGUUAAUUCGAUGCAACGCGAAGAACCUUACCUGGUCUUGACAUCCCGGAGACCCUUAGGAAACUAGGGGUGCUUCCAUCUGGAAGAAUCUGGAGACAGGUGCUGCAUGGCUGUCGUCAGCUCGUGUCGUGAGAUGUUGGGUUAAGUCCCGCAACGAGCGCAACCCUUGCCUUUAGUUGCCAGCAGUUCGGCUGGGCACUCUAAAGGGACUGCCGGUGUUAAACCGGAGGAAGGUGGGGAUGACGUCAAGUCCUCAUGGCCUUUAUGACCAGGGCUACACACGUACUACAAUGGCCGAUACAAAGGGCAGCGACACUGCGAGGUGAAGCCAAUCCCGUAAAAUCGGUCUCAGUCCGGAUUGGAGUCUGCAACUCGACUCCAUGAAGUUGGAAUCGCUAGUAAUCGUGGAUCAGCAUGCCACGGUGAAUACGUUCCCGGGCCUU